This 468-nucleotide ribosomal RNA is filed under the name uncultured bacterium. RNAcentral describes it as "partial 16S ribosomal RNA". It matches the Rfam family "Bacterial small subunit ribosomal RNA", at positions 28 to 507 of the family's 1533-position model. The record is from RNAcentral.
GACGAACGCUGGCGGCGUGCUUAACACAUGCAAGUCGAACGGAAAGGCCCUGCUUUUGUGGGGUGCUCGAGUGGCGAACGGGUGAGUAACACGUGAGUAACCUGCCCUUGACUUUGGGAUAACUUCAGGAAACUGGGGCUAAUACCGGAUAGGAGCUCCUGCUGCAUGGUGGGGGUUGGAAAGUUUCGGCGGUUGGGGAUGGCCUCGCGGCUUAUCAGCUUGUUGGUGGGGUAGUGGCUUACCAAGGCUUUGACUGGUAGCCGGCCUGAGAGGGUGACCGGCCACAUUGGGACUGAGAUACGGCCCAGACUCCUACGGGAGGCAGCAGUGGGGAAUAUUGCACAAUGGGCGGAAGCCUGAUGCAGCAACGCCGCGUGCGGGAUGACGGCCUUCGGGUUGUAAACCGCUUUCGCCUGUGACGAAGCGUGAGUGACGGUAAUGGGUAAAGAAGCACCGGCUAACUACGUG